GAUGAACGCUGGCGGCGUGCCUAAUACAUGCAAGUCGAGCGAACAGACGAGGAGCUUGCUCCUCUGACGUUAGCGGCGGACGGGUGAGUAACACGUGGAUAACCUACCUAUAAGACUGGGAUAACUUCGGGAAACCGGAGCUAAUACCGGGUAAUAUAUUGAACCGCAUGGUUCAAUAGUGAAAGACGGUUUUGCUGUCACUUAUAGAUGGAUCCGCGCCGCAUUAGCUAGUUGGUAAGGUAACGGCUUACCAAGGCAACGAUGCGUAGCCGACCUGAGAGGGUGAUCGGCCACACUGGAACUGAGACACGGUCCAGACUCCUACGGGAGGCAGCAGUAGGGAAUCUUCCGCAAUGGGCGAAAGCUUGACGGAGCAACGCCGCGUGAGUGAUGAAGGUCUUCGGAUCGUAAAACUCUGUUAUUAGGGAAGAACAAAUGUGUAAGUAACUAUGCACGUCUUGACGGUACCUAAUCAGAAAGCCACGGCUAACUACGUG
This 497-nucleotide ribosomal RNA is filed under the name uncultured bacterium. RNAcentral describes it as "partial 16S ribosomal RNA". It matches the Rfam family "Bacterial small subunit ribosomal RNA", at positions 28 to 507 of the family's 1533-position model. The record is from RNAcentral.